GAGUGCCUACGGGACGCAGCAGUGGGGAAUAUUGCACAAUGGGGGAAACCCUGAUGCAGCAACGCCGCGUGAGUGAAGAAGGUUUUCGGAUUGUAAAGCUCUGUUAGCAGGGAAGAGGAAGGACGGUACCUGCAGAGGAAGCCACGGCUAACUACGUGCCAGCAGCCGCGGUAAUACGUAGGGGGCAAGCGUUAUCCGGAUUUACUGGGUGUAAAGGGAGCGUAGACGGCAUUGCAAGUCUGAUGUGAAAGAUUGGGGCUCAACCCCAGGCCUGCAUUGGAAACUGUAAAGCUGGAGUACAGGAG
This 305-nucleotide ribosomal RNA is filed under the name uncultured bacterium. RNAcentral describes it as "bacterial SSU rRNA". It matches the Rfam family "Bacterial small subunit ribosomal RNA", at positions 334 to 654 of the family's 1533-position model. The record is from RNAcentral.